UGGGAAUAUUGGACAAUGGGCGAAAGCCUGAUCCAGCCAUGCCGCGUGUGUGAAGAAGGUCUUCGGAUUGUAAAGCACUUUAAGUUGGGAGGAAGGGCAGUUACCUAAUACGUGAUUGUCUUGACGUUACCGACAGAAUAAGUACCGGCUAACUCUGUGCCAGCAGCCGCGGUAAUACAGAGGGUGCAAGCGUUAAUCGGAAUUACUGGGCGUAAAGCGCGCGUAGGUGGUUUGUUAAGUUGGAUGUGAAAUCCCCGGGCUCAACCUGGGAACUGCAUUCAAAACUGACAGGCUAGAGUAUGGUAGAGGGUGGUGGAAUUUCCUGUGUAGCGGUGAAAUGCGUAGAUAUAGGAAGGAACACCAGUGGCGAAGGCGACCACCUGGACUAAUACUGACACUGAGGUGCGAAAAGCGUGGGGAGCAAAACAGGAUUANAUACCCCUGGUAGUCCACGCCGUAAAACGAUGUCAACCAGCCGUUGGGNGCCUUGAGCUCUUAGUGGCGCAGCUAACGCAUUAA
Molecule: ribosomal RNA, 519 nt
Filed under: uncultured bacterium
Lineage: Bacteria
Description: partial 16S ribosomal RNA
Rfam family: Bacterial small subunit ribosomal RNA
Source: RNAcentral